GACGAACGCUGGCGGCGUGCUUAACACAUGCAAGUCGAACGGAAAGGCCCUGCUUUUGUGGGGUGCUCGAGUGGCGAACGGGUGAGUAACACGUGAGUAACCUGCCCUUUACUUUGGGAUAACUUCAGGAAACUGGGGCUAAUACCGGAUAGGAGCUCCUUCUGCAUGGUGGGGGUUGGAAAGUUUCGGCGGUUGGGGAUGGACUCGCGGCUUAUCAGCUUGUUGGUGGGGUAGUGGCUUACCAAGGCUUUGACGGGUAGCCGGACUGAGAGGGUGACCGGCCACAUUGGGACUGAGAUACGGCCCAGACUCAUACGGGAGGCAGAAGUGGGGAAUAUUGCACAAUGGGCGGAAGCCUGAUGCAGCAACGCCGCGUGCGGGAUGACGGCCUUCGGGUUGUAACCCGCUUUCGCCUGUGACGAAGCGUGAGUGACGGUAAUGGGUAAAGAAGCACCGGCUAACUACGUG
This 468-nucleotide ribosomal RNA is filed under the name uncultured bacterium. Its description in RNAcentral is "partial 16S ribosomal RNA". It matches the Rfam family "Bacterial small subunit ribosomal RNA", at positions 28 to 507 of the family's 1533-position model. The record is from RNAcentral.